This 1414-nucleotide ribosomal RNA is filed under the name Hyphodiscus sp. KUS-F52558. RNAcentral's name for it is "eukaryotic LSU rRNA". It matches the Rfam family "Eukaryotic large subunit ribosomal RNA", at positions 60 to 1119 of the family's 3401-position model. Lineage: Eukaryota; Fungi; Ascomycota; Leotiomycetes; Helotiales; Hyphodiscaceae. The record is from RNAcentral.
ANNAACACAGGGAUUGCCUCAGUAACGGCGAGUGAAGCGGCAACAGCUCAAAUUUGAAAUCUGGCUCCUCUGGGGCUCGAGUUGUAAUUUGUAGAAGAUGCUUUGGGAACGGCGCCGGUCUAAGUUCCUUGGAACAGGACGUCACAGAGGGUGAGAAUCCCGUAUGUGACCGGCUGCCCGCCCCGUGUAAAGCUCUUUCGACGAGUCGAGUUGUUUGGGAAUGCAGCUCAAAAUGGGUGGUAAAUUUCAUCUAAAGCUAAAUAUUGGCCAGAGACCGAUAGCGCACAAGUAGAGUGAUCGAAAGAUGAAAAGCACUUUGGAAAGAGAGUUAAACAGUACGUGAAAUUGUUGAAAGGGAAGCGCUUGCAACCAGACUUGCACGUAGUUAAUCAUCUGGUGUUCUCACCGGUGCACUUGGCGACGUUCAGGCCAGCAUCGGUUCAGGUGGUGGGAUAAAGGCCUUGGGAAUGUAGCUUCUCUUGGGGAGUGUUAUAGCCCUCGGUGCAAUGCCGCCUACCUGGACCGAGGACCGCGCUCCGGCUAGGAUGCUGGCGUAAUGGUUGUAAGCGACCCGUCUUGAAACACGGACCAAGGAGUCUAACAUCUAUGCGAGUGUUUGGGUGUCAAACCCAUACGCGUAAUGAAAGUGAACGGAGGUGAGAACCCUUAAGGGUGCAUCAUCGACCGAUCCUGAUGUCUUCGGAUGGAUUUGAGUAAGAGCAUAGCUGUUGGGACCCGAAAGAUGGUGAACUAUGCCUGARUARGGUGAAGCCAGAGGAAACUCUGGUGKAGGCUCGCAGCGGUUCUGACGUGCAAAUCGAUCGUCAAAUUUGGGUAUAGGGGCGAAAGACUAAUCGAACCAUUAGCCGUAGGCUACGUUUCAACGAUAAUGCUCUACUAGGUGGUCGAGAGGCAUAUAAGAGUUAUGCCUAGCCCUAUGUCAAAGGGUGACAUUGUCAAAUUGCGGGGACGUCCUGCUCAACUUAGGUACGGCCCCCUGUUGAAAGACCCGUGCCCCCCCGGGUAGUGACCUAGGGUAUUGUAAUAACGGUUAGGUAGGGAUUAUUCGCAACUCAACCCUUAGGGAGAGAUUCUUCCGGGUAAGUUCCCCGGCUAAAAGGCGAUGGGCUUGAUGUUACCGGCUUAAGAUAUAGUUGAACCCCCGGGAGGCCGGAUAGUAAGAACAGAGGAUCGUGGAAUUGACACUAGCAACCCUCGAGGUUUUUAGUCCACGUUUCCCGAGUCUAACUAGAAUGUUGGCUUAUGCUAAUGUUUGGGAUCUUCCGAGUCCCUAGACGUGAAUGAUCUUUAGAAGCUUCGAGUGGGGUGCUUGUCCAGGUGGCCUCCCAUCGAGACGGGCACGCUAUAGCGCUGAAGGUUAUUUGCACUAGGGCUCUCGAAGAUUAAAUGNUUA